RNAcentral lists this transfer RNA (68 nucleotides) under Balta jinlinorum. RNAcentral's name for it is "tRNA-Trp". The record is from RNAcentral. Lineage: Eukaryota; Metazoa; Arthropoda; Insecta; Blattodea; Pseudophyllodromiidae.
AAGGCUUUAAGUUAAAAUUAAACUUGUAACCUUCAAAGCUAUAAAUAAAGAUGCAUCUUUAAGCCUUA